UUAUAUUAGUUCGUUUGUCUUGUGUUUGUGGUUUCCCGAUUAUUGUUUCCUGUAGCUGCGACUAUUCUUCAGGGUUUUAAUUUGCUUUGCUUUGCCAACUUUAUACUGAAAUUGUUAUGACUAGUAGUUUGUUAUCGAGUAGUUUAGUUGUUGAAAUUUUGGUACGAUAUUUGUUUUUGGCUUUUGUUGAUUAAUUUUGUAAAAUUAGUCUUGUUAAUUAAGUUUGGUAAUUUAUUAAGGUUAAUUAGAUUAAAAUUUAAAUUGAACUUAUGUUAAUGAAAAUUAGUUUUUAAAAUACACCCUCUCCACUAAAAUUAAGUUUCUAAUUCGCCUAGAUUUAAAGUAAAGGGUUUGCGAAAAAUAAUUUUAAUCUCUGUGGAUCGAAUCAUAAAUAUUAAA
RNAcentral lists this long non-coding RNA (399 nucleotides) under Daucus carota (carrot). RNAcentral describes it as "long non-coding RNA (DCAR_LNC003456)". The record is from RNAcentral. Lineage: Eukaryota; Viridiplantae; Streptophyta; Magnoliopsida; Apiales; Apiaceae.